CGCAAUGGAAAGCGACUUGGGACGUCCUAGUCAAUUGAGAGUGGAAGGAUUAGACCAAUGGUAACUUGCGCAGGCACGUGCGCCACGUGAUAUACGUGUAAGGCCUUUAUUAGGCUGCAAGAGGCCAUAUUACAGCCUUUGGAGGCCUGCACCCGUAGGUGACGGUGUUAUAACGCCAUGGCGCAAUGGAAAACCACUUGGGACGUCAUAGUCCAAUGAGAGUGGAAGGAUUAGACCGAUCGUAACUCGCCCAGGCACGUGGAACAACGCGAUUUGUGUGUACGACCUUUAUUAAGCUGCAAAAUGCCAUAGUACAGCCUUUUAGAGGCCUGUACGCGUAGUUGACGGUGUUAUAAAGUCAUGGCGCAAUGGAAAACAACAUGGGACGUCGUAGUCCAUUGAGAGUGGAGUAAUUAGACCAGCGGUAAUCUGCGCAGGCACGUGCAACCAUGUGAUAUACGUGAAAGGCCUUUAUUAUGCUGCAAGAGGCCAUAUUACAGCUU
This is a long non-coding RNA of Hydractinia symbiolongicarpus, 503 nucleotides long. RefSeq lists it as uncharacterized. The transcript has 2 exons. The record is from RefSeq and is a predicted model, not a curated record. Lineage: Eukaryota; Metazoa; Cnidaria; Hydrozoa; Anthoathecata; Hydractiniidae.